AGGUGCCCGUACCGCAAACCGACACAGGUAGGUAGGAAGAAGAUUCUAAGGCCAACGGGAGAAGGGUUGUUAAGGAACUCGGCAAAUUGACCCCGUAACUUCGGGAGAAGGGGUGCUCCAGAGAUGGAGCCGCAGAGAAUCGGCCCAAGCAACUGUUUACCAAAAACACAGGUUUGUGCUAAAUCGAAAGAUGACGUAUACGAGCUGACGCCUGCCCGGUGCUGGAAGGUUAAGAGGAGAUGUGCAAGCAUUGAAUCGAAGCCCCAGUGAACGGCGGCCGUAACUAUAACGGUCCUAAGGUAGCGAAAUUCCUUGUCAGGUAAGUUCUGACCCGCAUGAAAGGCGUAAUGAUUUGGGCACUGUCUCAACAGCCCGCCCGGCGAAAUUGUAGUACCGGUGAAGAUGCCGGUUACCCGCGACAAGACGGAAAGACCCCAUGGAGCUUUACUGUAGCCUAAUAUUGGGUUUCGAUGUUGCAUGCACAGGAUAGAUGGGACACAGGGAAACAAGUGCUUUGGCAUUUGUGGAGUGGCCGUUGGGAUACCAUCCUUGCGAUAUUGGAAUUCUAACCUGCGCCUUUGAAUCAAGGCGGGGGACAUUGUUAGGUGGGCAGUUUGACUGGGGCGGUCGCCUCCUAAAGAGUAACGGAGGCGUUCAAAGGUUCGCUCAGCUUGAACGGAAAUCAAGCAAAAGAGUGCAAACGCAGAAGCGAGCCUAACUGCGAGACUGACGGGUCGAGCAGUAACGAAAGUUGGAGUUAGUGAUCCGGUGGUAUGUGAGUGGAAAUGCCAUCGCUCAACGGAUAAAAGUUACCCUGGGGAUAACAGGCUGAUCUCCCCCAAGAGUCCACAUCGACGGGGAGGUUUGGCACCUCGAUGUCGGCUCAUCGCAUCCUGGGGCUGUAUUCGGUCCCAAGGGUUUGGCUGUUCGCCAAUUAAAGCGGUACGCGAGCUGGGUUCAGAACGUCGUGAGACAGUUCGGUCCCUAUCUGUCGUGGGCGCAGGAUAUUUGAUGGGAGCUGUCCCUAGUACGAGAGGACCGGGACGGACGUACCUCUGGCGCACCAGUUGUUCCGCCAGGAGCAUAGCUGGGCAACUACGUACGGAUCGGAUAAACGCUGAAAGCAUCUAAGCGUGAAGCCGACCCAAAGAUAAGAUAUCCCACUGAUU
RNAcentral lists this ribosomal RNA (1169 nucleotides) under human gut metagenome. RNAcentral describes it as "bacterial LSU rRNA". It matches the Rfam family "Bacterial large subunit ribosomal RNA", at positions 1636 to 2822 of the family's 2925-position model. The record is from RNAcentral.